AUCCUGGCUCAGAUUGAACGCUGGCGGCAGGCCUAACACAUGCAAGUCGAGCGGUAGCACAGAGAGCUUGCUCUCGGGUGACGAGCGGCGGACGGGUGAGUAAUGUCUGGGAAACUGCCUGAUGGAGGGGGAUAACUACUGGAAACGGUAGCUAAUACCGCAUAANGUCGCAAGACCAAAGUGGGGGACCUUCGGGCCUCAUGCCAUCAGAUGUGCCCAGAUGGGAUUAGCUAGUAGGUGGGGUAACGGCUCACCUAGGCGACGAUCCCUAGCUGGUCUGAGAGGAUGACCAGCCACACUGGAACUGAGACACGGUCCAGACUCCUACGGGAGGCAGCAGUGGGGAAUAUUGCACAAUGGGCGCAAGCCUGAUGCAGCCAUGCCGCGUGUGUGAAGAAGGCCUUCGGGUUGUAAAGCACUUUCAGCGGGGAGGAAGGCGUUAAGGUUAAUAACCUUGNCGAUUGACGUUACCCGCAGAAGAAGCACCGGCUAACUCCGUGCCAGCAGCC
This 509-nucleotide ribosomal RNA is filed under the name Klebsiella pneumoniae. Its description in RNAcentral is "bacterial SSU rRNA". It matches the Rfam family "Bacterial small subunit ribosomal RNA", at positions 16 to 516 of the family's 1533-position model. The record is from RNAcentral. Lineage: Bacteria; Pseudomonadati; Pseudomonadota; Gammaproteobacteria; Enterobacterales; Enterobacteriaceae.